CCCAGGCGCCCCUUCAUGACCUAUCAUCUGCACAGGCCUUGGCACCUAGUAGGUCCUCAGGAAAUCUCACAUGAAUAGACAAAUGAGUGAAAAAUCCCUGACCUGCCUUACAGAGUCAAGACUCGUGUCUGAGUCUUCUCUGUGCUCCAGACAUCACUCAGGCCUCAGCACAGAGUAGGUCCUCAUGAAGUACUGGGUGACUAGUUGAACAUCCCAGCAUCAGCCCUGGAGUCAUUCAGGGUCAGAGACCACACAGUUGGUUCCUUCCUGUACCCCAGACAUCACCCAGCCCAAGCAUCAGCACACAGUAAGUCCUUAGGAGAUAUAAAUUAAUAGGGCAGGGAAAUUAAUGAAUAAGUGAAUAUCCUUCGCAUCAGCCCUGGAUCAGGGAGCAUGCAUCCUGGUUCCUUCCUGUGAUCCAAACUCUCCAGCCCAAGCCUCAUCACAUAGUAGGUCCUUGAGAAGCUCUAGGUGAUUGAAUAAUUGUACAUACCAGCAUCAGCCCUGGAGUCAUUCAGAUUCAGGGAGGACACAGCCCGUUCAUCCCUAUGCCUCAGACAUCUCCCAACUCAGGUGUCAGCACACAGUAGGUCCUCAAGAAAUACUGAGUGAAUGAAUAGUUGAACAACCCCAGCUCCAACCCUAGAGCCGUUCAGAGUCAUGGACCACACAGUCGGACUCCUCCUUCUGACCUUCGCCCAGCUGAGGUGCUCUGCACACAGUAGGUGCUCAGAGAGUGCUGGGUGAAUGGAUGAAUGAGUGGAAUGGGACCCUUGUUAAUAGACAUGGGCCUGAGUUCCGUCACCGCAGAGGGCAGGGGAAACUGACCCUCUUCGACCGGAAGGGCUGCCAGUCGCUGGGCUAAGCGGAGAAUGGGCGGGGCCGUGGGCGGGGCCGGCGUCAGGCCCUGGAGCCCUUCUGCCAAGACCUCAAGGAGAGCGGGCCGGGGGCGGUGCACCCGCGCUGGGGGCUCCCCUCGGAGUGCGCGGGCGCGUCCGCGGGAGCGGGGUCUCCACGUCGAUUUGCGCCUCGCUGGUUCCCACGCUGCUCGGUGUUCGUCUCGCGUGUCGGCCGUUUGGCCGGCUGUGCCCCCCAGCAGACCCGGAGGGUGAGCGUGUGCGCGACGAGGGUCGCAGCCCCGGAGCACAGGGCCGUCUGGGGCCCCUCCUGCUGCAGAAAGUGGCCCACGCGAGCGGUGCCCGGAGUCCACAGCAGUGGAGGAGCUGAGCCCCGGAGGGGCGCUGCGGAAGACACCUGUUUCAGAGCUUUCGAAGUGCCCGAUGAGGACUCAGUUCCUCCAGGAGACCCGGCAGAGGGGGAGGACAGACCAGAACCUCAUGAACCCAUAGUGGUCAGGUGGUGAUACAAGUUAUGCGGACAGUGACCAGCGGAGGGAGGUGCCAUUUGGGGACGGUGGGGGAGGCCUCUCUGAGGAGACGUUGGAGCAGAGCACUGCAGGAGGUGAGGGAGCCACGUCAGCUUCUGGGGGAAGAGCAUUCCGGGCAGAGGUCCAUUCCGGAGGCAGUGCAAAGGUCCGGAGGCAGGCGCAUGAUGGGCUUGUUCAAACAGCAGAAGGCCAGUGCGGAUGCUAUAAAUUAAGCCAAUUUCAUCGCGAACUUUGGUGGUGUAACAUGAAUCAAUAAUUAAUCACCAACGAGCUUAAGCUCAUUUGAAUUGAGCUUCUGUUAUUUGCAACCAAUAAAUCCUAAUGAAUGUAAAAGCUGAGGCUUGUGUUUCUUUUAACGGACUGUUGUUGCUCGUUGGAUGCAAUCGGCUGGCGGGAAGGAUGGGGAGAGACAGAGUGUCCCAUACUUCUCCCAGCCCUGAUUUUUUGGCAAACUCAGGAGAGGCCACUGGAAGUC
Molecule: long non-coding RNA, 1862 nt
Filed under: Zalophus californianus (California sea lion)
Lineage: Eukaryota; Metazoa; Chordata; Mammalia; Carnivora; Otariidae
Description: lncRNA (ENSZCAG00015020647.1)
Source: RNAcentral